ACGCUCGACACCUACUGGAGGCAGCAGUAGGGAAUCUUCCGCAAUGGACGAAAGUCUGACGGAGCAACGCCGCGUGAACGAUGAAGGUUUUCGGAUCGUAAAGUUCUGUUGUUAGGGAAGAACAAACUUCGUUUGAAUAAGGCGGAGUCAUGACGGUACCUAACGAGAAAGCCACGGCUAACUACGUGCCAGCAGCCGCGGUAAUCUGAGCGGGCUGGCAAGGC
RNAcentral lists this ribosomal RNA (224 nucleotides) under uncultured bacterium. RNAcentral's name for it is "partial 16S ribosomal RNA". It matches the Rfam family "Bacterial small subunit ribosomal RNA", at positions 328 to 539 of the family's 1533-position model. The record is from RNAcentral.